RNAcentral lists this ribosomal RNA (238 nucleotides) under uncultured bacterium. RNAcentral's name for it is "partial 16S ribosomal RNA". It matches the Rfam family "Bacterial small subunit ribosomal RNA", at positions 96 to 334 of the family's 1533-position model. The record is from RNAcentral.
CGGCGGACGGGUGAGUAACGCGUGGGUAACCUGCCUCAUACAGGGGGAUAAUAGUUGGAAACGGCUGCUAAUACCGCAUAAGCGCACAGUACCGCAUGGUACGGUGUGAAAAACUCCGGUGGUAUGAGAUGGACCCGCGUCUGAUUAGGUAGUUGGUGGGGUAACGGCCUACCAAGCCGACGAUCAGUAGCCGACCUGAGAGGGUGACCGGCCACAUUGGGACUGAGACACGGCCCAA